GACGAACGCUGGCGGCAUGCCUAACACAUGCAAGUCGAACGGAACCGCCGCUUUCGGUGGCUACCCGAUUGGCGAACGGGUGAGUAACACGUGAGUAACCUGCCCUUGAGUUGGGGAUAACUUCUGGUAACGGGGGAUGAUGCCGGAUCGAAGCUCCUGCUGCCUGGUGUGGGUUGGAGAGUUUCUGCGGUGGUGGAUGGGUUUGCGGCUAAUCAGCUUGUUGGUGUGGGAGUGGCUGACCAAGGCUUUGGCGGGUAGCCGGCGUGGGAGGGUGACGGGCCACAUUGAGACUGGGACAGGGCCCAGACCCCUACGGGAGGGAGCAGUGGGGAAGAGUGCACAAUGGGUGGAAGCCAGAUGCAGAUCCGCCGUGGGCGGGAGGACGGCCUUGGGGUUGGAAUUCGAUUGCGCUCAUGACGGAGCUGAGUGUGACGGUAGUGGGUAAAGAAGCACCGGCUAACUACGUG
This 467-nucleotide ribosomal RNA is filed under the name uncultured bacterium. RNAcentral's name for it is "partial 16S ribosomal RNA". It matches the Rfam family "Bacterial small subunit ribosomal RNA", at positions 28 to 507 of the family's 1533-position model. The record is from RNAcentral.